UACAGAGGUCUCGAGCGUUAGGCGGAAUCACUGGGCUUAAAGCGUGUGUAGGCGGACUGGUAAGUACCUUGUGAAAUCCCACGGCUCAACCGUGGAACUGCUUGGUAUACUGCUUGUCUUGUGCAACCUAGGGGCGAGCGGAACAGAUGGUGGAGCGGUGAAAUGCGUAGAUAUCAUCUGGAACGCCAAUGGUGAAAACAGCUCGCUGGGGGUUUGCAGACGCUGAGACACGAAAGCCAGGGGAGCAAACGGG
Molecule: ribosomal RNA, 253 nt
Filed under: uncultured bacterium
Lineage: Bacteria
Description: partial 16S ribosomal RNA
Rfam family: Bacterial small subunit ribosomal RNA
Source: RNAcentral